AAACUAGAACAUGUAUCUUCAGAGAUUUUAUUCCUGCCUUCCUGCAGACAUCUGUAUUGCUCGUAUGCUCUUCUACUAACAAUAAGAAGGGCCCCAAAAAGCCAGCUUGCUACAGCAGGAGGUACAUGAAACAUCAGGAAGACUAUUCCUGGUUCUAUGCAAAGUGUCUACAGCCUCAUGGAUUAAAGGCAAGAAAUGAGAAGGAGGGAAAAGUGCACAUAUACAAUGGAAGAGAGAAGCUAGGGACAGGAGAUGGAGAAAGUAUUUCUUCAAGGAAAAUAACCCUGUUUUCUUUAUACUGUUAUACUUGAAAAUGUAUAUGAAUAGACACACCAUUAAAUAUACAACCUUUACUAAAGUGAGA
Cyanistes caeruleus (blue tit) is the source of this 364-nucleotide non-coding RNA. NCBI's taxonomy places the organism in Eukaryota, Metazoa, Chordata, Aves, Passeriformes, Paridae. The record is from RefSeq and is a predicted model, not a curated record.